GACGAACGCUGGCGGCGUGCUUAACACAUGCAAGUCGAACGGAAAGGCCCUGCUUGCAGGGUACUCGAGUGGCGAACGGGUGAGUAACACGUGGGUGAUCUGCCCUGCACUUCGGGAUAAGCCUUGGAAACUGGGUCUAAUACCGGAUAGGAGCCAUUUUUAGUGUGAUGGUUGGAAAGUUUUUUCGGUGUAGGAUGAGCUCGCGGCCUAUCAGCUUGUUGGUGGGGUAAUGGCCUACCAAGGCGGCGACGGGUAGCCGGCCUGAGAGGGUGGACGGCCACAUUGGGACUGAGAUACGGCCCAGACUCCUACGGGAGGCAGCAGUGGGGAAUAUUGCACAAUGGGCGCAAGCCUGAUGCAGCGACGCCGCGUGGGGGAUGACGGCCUUCAGGUUGUAAACUCCUUUCGCUAGGGACGAAGCUUUUUGUGACGGUACCUAGAUAAGAAGCACCGGCUAACUACGUG
RNAcentral lists this ribosomal RNA (465 nucleotides) under uncultured bacterium. RNAcentral describes it as "partial 16S ribosomal RNA". It matches the Rfam family "Bacterial small subunit ribosomal RNA", at positions 28 to 507 of the family's 1533-position model. The record is from RNAcentral.